UAGGGAAUCUUCGGCAAUGGACGAAAGUCUGACCGAGCAACGCCGCGUGAGUAAAGAAGGUUUUCGGAUCGUAAAACUCUGUUGGUAGAGAAGAACGUUGGUGAGAGUGGAAAGCUCAUCAAGUGACGGUAACUACCCAGAAAGGGACGGCUAACUACGUGCCAGCAGCCGCGGUAAUACGUAGGUCCCGAGCGUUGUCCGGAUUUAUUGGGCGUAAAGCGAGCGCAGGUGGUUUAUUAAGUCUGGUGUAAAAGGCAGUGGCUCAACCAUUGUAUGCAUUGGAAACUGGUAGACUUGAGUGCAGGAGAGGAGAGUGGAAUUCCAUGUGUAGCGGUGAAAUGCGUAGAUAUAUGGAGGAACACCGUGGCGAAAGCGGCUCUCUGGCCUGUAACUGACACUGAGGCUCGAAAGCGUGGGGAGCAAACAGGAUUAGAUACCCUGGUAGUCCACGCCGUAAACGAUGAGUGCUAGAUGUAGGGAGCUAUAAGUUCUCUGUAUCGCAGCUAACGCAAUAAGCACUCCGCCUGGGGAGUACGACCGCAAGGUUGAAAC
Molecule: ribosomal RNA, 552 nt
Filed under: uncultured bacterium
Lineage: Bacteria
Description: partial 16S ribosomal RNA
Rfam family: Bacterial small subunit ribosomal RNA
Source: RNAcentral